This 77-nucleotide transfer RNA is filed under the name Coprinellus micaceus. RNAcentral describes it as "tRNA-OTHER". It matches the Rfam family "tRNA". From Rfam's summary of the family: Transfer RNA (tRNA) molecules are approximately 80 nucleotides in length. Their secondary structure includes four short double-helical elements and three loops (D, anti-codon, and T loops). The record is from RNAcentral. Lineage: Eukaryota; Fungi; Basidiomycota; Agaricomycetes; Agaricales; Psathyrellaceae.
GCAUCAAUGGGGUAGUGGUAACCAUCGUCGAAACGCGUUGUUUCGACCCGCCGAGGGUUCGAUUCCCCCUUGAUGCA